GACGAACGCUGGCGGCGUGCUUAACACAUGCAAGUCGAACGGAAAGGCCCUGCUUUUGUGGGGUGCUCGAGUGGCGAACGGGUGAGUAACACGUGAGUAACCUGCCCUUGACUUUGGGAUAACUUCAGGAAACUGGGGCUAAUACCGGAUAGGAGCUCCUGCUGCAUGGUGGGGGUUGGAAAGUUUCGGCGGUUGGGGAUGGACUCGCGGCUUAUCAGCUUGUUGGUGGGGUAGUGGCUUACCAAGGCUUUGACGGGUAGCCGGCCUGAGAGGGUGACCGGCCACAUUGGGACUGAGAUACGGCCCAGACUCCUACGGGAGGCAGCAGUGGGGAAUAUUGCACAAUGGGCGGAAGCCUGAUGCAGCAACGCCGCGUGCGGGAUGACGGCCUUCGGGUUGUAAACCGCUUUCGCCUGUGACGAAGCGUGAGUGACGGUAAUGGGUAAAGAAGCACCGGCUAACUACGUGCCAGCAGCCGCGGUGAUACGUAGGGUGCGAGCGUUGUCCGGAUUUAUUGGGCGUAAAGGGCUCGUAGGUGGUUGAUCGCGUCGGAAGUGUAAUCUUGGGGCUUAACCCCUGAGCGUGCUUUCGAUACGGGUUGACUUGAGGAAGGUAGGGGAGAAUGGAAUUCCUGGUGGAGCGGUGGAAUGCGCAGAUAUCAGGAGGAACACCAGUGGCGAAGGCGGUUCUCUGGCCUUUCCUGACGCUGAGGAGCGAAAGCGUGGGGAGCGAACAGGCUUAGAUACCCUGGUAGUCCACGCUGUAAACGGUGGGUACUAGGUGUGGGGUCCAUUCCACGGGUUCCGUGCCGUAGCUAACGCUUUAAGUACCCCGCCUGGGGAGUACGGCCGCAAGGCUAAAACUCAAAGGAAUUGACGGGGCCCCGCACAAGCGGCGGAGCAUGCGGAUUAAUUCGAUGCAACGCGUAGAACCUUACCUGGGUUUGACAUGGAUCGGGAGUGCUCAGAGAUGGGUGUGCCUCUUUUGGGGUCGGUUCACAGGUGGUGCAUGGCUGCCGUCAGCUCGUGUCGUGAGAUGUUGGGUUAAGUCCCGCAACGAGCGCAACCCUUGUUCACUGUUGCCAGCACGUUAUGGUGGGGACUCAGUGGAGACCGCCGGGGUCAACUCGGAGGAAGGUGGGGAUGACGUCAAGUCAUCAUGCCCCUUAUGUCCAGGGCUUCACGCAUGCUACAAUGGCUGGUACAGAGAGUGGCGAGCCUGUGAGGGUGAGCGAAUCUCGGAAAGCCGGUCUCAGUUCGGAUUGGGGUCUGCAACUCGACCUCAUGAAGUCGGAGUCGCUAGUAAUCGCAGAUCAGCAACGCUGCGGUGAAUACGUUCCCGGG
RNAcentral lists this ribosomal RNA (1343 nucleotides) under uncultured bacterium. Its description in RNAcentral is "16S ribosomal RNA". It matches the Rfam family "Bacterial small subunit ribosomal RNA", at positions 28 to 1378 of the family's 1533-position model. The record is from RNAcentral.